GAAAAGGUGGCGGAGUGGUUUAACGCAAUGGUUUGCUAAAUCAUCAUUACUUCUUGUAAUCGUGGGUUCGAAUCCCAUCCUUUUC
This 85-nucleotide transfer RNA is filed under the name Leucocryptos marina. RNAcentral's name for it is "tRNA-Ser". It matches the Rfam family "tRNA". Rfam says of the family: Transfer RNA (tRNA) molecules are approximately 80 nucleotides in length. Their secondary structure includes four short double-helical elements and three loops (D, anti-codon, and T loops). Lineage: Eukaryota; Cryptophyceae; Kathablepharidacea; Katablepharidaceae. The record is from RNAcentral.